CUAACAGAAAUUAAUCUAAGUAUCACCUGCUCAUGAUAUAAUAAAUAGCCGCAGAUUCUGUGCUAAGGUAGCAUAAUAAUUUGCCUUUUAAUUAAAGGCUAGAAUGAAAGGUAUUACAUAUUGAAAACUUUAUUAAUUUUUUUCAUUUAAACUAACUUUUUAGUAAAAAGGCUAAAAUUCUUAAGAAGACGACAAGACCCUGUCAAACUUCACAUUUUUGUUUUACUGGGGGGGUAUAGAAACUUUAUCUUUUUUGAUAUAAUUACUAAAAAUAUUUAAACUAGUUACUGCAGGGAUAACAGCAUAAUUUUUUCCUAAAGAUCUUAUAUAAGAAAAAGUUUGUGACCUCGAUGUUGAAUUAGAAAUCUAUAAAGAGCAAAAUCUUUACAAGUAAGUCUGUUCGACUUUUAAUAUUCUACAUGAUUUGAGUUCAGACCGGCGUAAGCCAGGUCGGUUUCUAUCUCUUUUUUAAAUUUUUAGUACGAAAGGACCAAAAUCUUAAUUUUAUAUUAA
This 513-nucleotide ribosomal RNA is filed under the name Nemesia sp. CRBAME001080. RNAcentral's name for it is "partial 16S ribosomal RNA". It matches the Rfam family "Bacterial large subunit ribosomal RNA", at positions 1833 to 2716 of the family's 2925-position model. Lineage: Eukaryota; Metazoa; Arthropoda; Arachnida; Araneae; Nemesiidae. The record is from RNAcentral.